Molecule: transfer RNA, 72 nt
Filed under: Candidatus Melainabacteria bacterium HGW-Melainabacteria-1
Lineage: Bacteria; Bacillati; Candidatus Melainabacteria
Description: tRNA-Val
Rfam family: tRNA
About the family: Transfer RNA (tRNA) molecules are approximately 80 nucleotides in length. Their secondary structure includes four short double-helical elements and three loops (D, anti-codon, and T loops).
Source: RNAcentral
GGGCGUUUAGCUCAACGGUAGAGCAUCUCGUUUACACCGAGAAGGUUGUAGGUUCGAAUCCUAUAGCGCCCA